Pyrus x bretschneideri (Chinese white pear) is the source of this 653-nucleotide long non-coding RNA. RefSeq lists it as uncharacterized. The record is from RefSeq and is a predicted model, not a curated record. The transcript has 2 exons. NCBI's taxonomy places the organism in Eukaryota, Viridiplantae, Streptophyta, Magnoliopsida, Rosales, Rosaceae.
AUGUGUAAAUAGUCUAAUUAAUAAAAUAUUCUCGGUGACCUCAAACGCAGCAAGCCUGUUCAAAGUCGCUUUGCUGUGGUGCGGUCAUAGUUGCUCUCCUCUUUGCGUUUCUUGUGAAUUCAGAUCCAAAAAAUGGCAGGUGGACUCGCUGCGCGUUUUUCGAAGCUCCCGGUGCCUCAAUCCUCCGAUGUAAAGUCCGCCGCCAUGUGGGGCGUCGCCGCCGGCACAGGAGCUCUUUGGUUCGUCCAGCCGUUUGAUUGGAUAAAGAAGACAUUUUUCGAGAAGCCUGCUGCGGCUGAAGGCCAAUAAUUUUCACGAUGUUGCUGGAUCUGUGGAAACGCAAUUUUCAUCGUCGUUUCAAGUUCAAUGAGCCAACCAAUUAGAGGAGAGAUCCUAAUUUCCCAUCUGUUUCAAUAAUUUGCUUGUUUUGGAAUAUUUCCAAAGGUUUUUAGAACCUAAUUUUUUUUUUUUUUUUAAAACGCUUUCAGUUAUUUAAAAAAUGUAUAUCAUGAGAUUAUUACGAUGAACUGUUAGAACUUAGAAUGUUUGAUGGGAGACUUUUUACUUUCAGCUUAUCUCAUGUGUAAUCGAUUUGAGUCAAGUACUUGGGUUAAGUAUGUGACUGUUUCUAAAUGAAGCACUUAAUUCGUAAA